RNAcentral lists this non-coding RNA (187 nucleotides) under Bacillus aerolatus. Its description in RNAcentral is "6S / SsrS RNA". It matches the Rfam family "6S / SsrS RNA". Rfam says of the family: E. coli 6S RNA was the first non coding RNA to be sequenced, but its function was unknown until recently. Lineage: Bacteria; Bacillati; Bacillota; Bacilli; Caryophanales; Bacillaceae. The record is from Rfam by way of RNAcentral.
UAUCAGCUGCGUUGUGCGUAAUCUUAAUAAAGUUUUAACCUUUAAGCUGAAAUAGGGAGUUUUAACAUUGAAGCGGGAAUAUCAUGCCUCAUCGCUAUGAGGACGAUAGGAGCGUUUCUGCAAACACCCACUUUAUGGAGUGGUGGUUUUAAAACUUCAUUAAAUGUACGGCAAACGCGGCCUUUCC